RNAcentral lists this ribosomal RNA (253 nucleotides) under uncultured bacterium. RNAcentral's name for it is "partial 16S ribosomal RNA". It matches the Rfam family "Bacterial small subunit ribosomal RNA", at positions 524 to 776 of the family's 1533-position model. The record is from RNAcentral.
UACGUAGGGUGCAAGCGUUAAUCGGAAUUACUGGGCGUAAAGCGUGCGCAGGCGGUUAUGUAAGACAGUUGUGAAAUCCCCGGGCUCAACCUGGGAACUGCAUCUGUGACUGCAUAGCUAGAGUACGGUAGAGGGGGAUGGAAUUCCGCGUGUAGCAGUGAAAUGCGUAGAUAUGCGGAGGAACACCGAUGGCGAAGGCAAUCCCCUGGACCUGUACUGACGCUCAGGCGCGAAAGCUAGGGGAGCGAACAGG